Molecule: ribosomal RNA, 357 nt
Filed under: uncultured bacterium
Lineage: Bacteria
Description: bacterial SSU rRNA
Rfam family: Bacterial small subunit ribosomal RNA
Source: RNAcentral
GGGAUCACACAAGCGGUGGAGCAUGUUGUUUAAUUCGAAGCAACGCGAAGAACCUUACCAGGCCUUGACAUGUACGGAUUAGCUCCCUGAAAGGGGAGUGACAGCUCUUCGGAGUCGGAACGUAUACAGGUGUUGCAUGGCUGUCGUCAGCUCGUGCCGUGAGGUGUUGGGUUAAGUCCCGUAACGAGCGAAACCCUUAUCGUUAGUUGCCAGCGGGUUAUGCCGGGGACUCUAGCGAGACUGCCGUUGUCAAAACGGAGGAAGGUGGGGACGACCGUCAAGUCAUCAUGGCCCUUAUGGCCUGGGCUACAAACGUGCUACAAUGGUCCGUACAAUGGGUACCCAAGUCGCGAGACG